GGGGUGUGUAGGGUGUGUAGGGGUGUGUAGGGUAGUGUAGGGUGUGUAGGGUGUGUAGGGUGUGUAGGGGUGUGUAGGGUGUGUAGGGGUGUGUAGGGUGUGUAGGGUGUGUAGGGGUGUGUAGGGUGUGUAGGGGUGUGUAGGGUGUGUAGGGUGUGUAGGGUGUGUAGGGGUGUGUAGGGGUGUGUAGGGUGUGUAGGGGUGUGUAGGGUGUGUAGGGAUGUGUAGGGUGUGUAGGGUGUGAAGGUGUGUAGGUGUGUAAGGUGUGCAGGGUGUGUAGGGGUGUGUAGGGUGUGUAGGGGUGUGUAGGUGUGUAGGGUGUGUAAAGUGUGUAGGUGUGUACGGUGUGUAGGGUGUGUAAAGUGUGUAGGGUGUGUAGGUGUGUACGGUGUGUAGGGUGUGUAGGGUGUGUAGGUGUGUAGGGUGUGUAGGUGUGUGUAGGUGUGUGUAUGUGUGUGUACGCGU
Molecule: long non-coding RNA, 465 nt
Organism: Oncorhynchus tshawytscha (Chinook salmon)
Lineage: Eukaryota; Metazoa; Chordata; Actinopteri; Salmoniformes; Salmonidae
Source: Ensembl